This 394-nucleotide ribosomal RNA is filed under the name uncultured bacterium. RNAcentral describes it as "partial 16S ribosomal RNA". It matches the Rfam family "Bacterial small subunit ribosomal RNA", at positions 523 to 918 of the family's 1533-position model. The record is from RNAcentral.
AUACGUAGGGGGCGAGCGUUAUCCGGAAUUAUUGGGCGUAAAGAGUACGUAGGUGGUUUCCUAAGCGAGGGGUUUAAGGCACUGGCUUAACCAAUGUUCGCCCCCCGAACUGGGGAACUUGAGUGCUGGAGAGGAAAGCGGAAUUCCUAGUGUAGCGGUGAAAUGCGUAGAUAUUAGGAGGAACACCAGUGGCGAAGGCGGCUUUCUGGACAGUAACUGACACUGAGGUACGAAAGUGUGGGGAGCAAACAGGAUUAGAUACCCUGGUAGUCCACACCGUAAACGAUGAGCACUAGGUGUCGGGCUCGCAAGAGUUCGGUGCCGCAGUUAACGCAUUAAGUGCUCCGCCUGGGGAGUACGUACGCAAGUAUGAAACUCAAAUGAAUUGACGGGG